UGUUUAUUCCGCUGCGAAUGUUUCGUUCGAUGAGAGAAGGCGUCCAUCUCUGGUUGAUUUCGAACCAGUUGGUUGGCCUGGUUGGGGGGCAGCGAUGGAAGAUCUGUGUUCACUGUUCUACAUGCGUGGGGGGCCGUCGAUUUUCGUUUGGGGAGGAUCGCUGCAUAUCCAGCCGCCCUUUUGGUCUUCAUCUCAUUGGUUUUCCUCUCAGAUGUUGCGUGCGAGGGUUGCCGUUCCAGCUGCGCUUCAUCCUUCUUCUCAUCGCAAGGGUUUAGCUAAAAGGGAUUUCUAGGUUUCGUUAAAAAAGGGAGGAAGAUUGAAGGAAAAAGAACUGGAGUAAUCAAUAUAGGAACCCCAGUUGCUCAUCAAUGUGAUUGGUGUAUACUAUGGUACUCCACAAGUGACAUCUGGAGGAAUUCCAUUAAAAUUCUUUGCCUCAGUUCGGCUUGAAAUAUGUUCUACAUGGAAGAUAAAGUCUGUAAUGGAGAUGGAAGAAAUUGGGGUUCGGGUUCGUGUAAGAGUGCAAAAGAGUAAGUUUUUGCAAGAUGUUAACCAUGUACGAGAGAGUCAAGAAGAGGCUGUGAGUAGAAGUAGGUUCUUUGCAGGCUAGACAAGUUUUUGCAAGAUGGUAGUAGUGUAUGAGAGAGUCAAGAGAAGGCUGUGAGUAGAAGGCGGUUCUUUGCUGGCUAGACAAGAGUUAAAACCCCUGCAGAAGACAAAAAAGAACAUAAACCACUUCUACAAUAGAGCCAGCAAGAGAUAGAUCCACUUUCAAUAGACAUCAAGGCAGAAAAAUCCCCUUCCCCCACAAAUAGAAUAUAUGUAAAGACAAAACUGCUGAUAUUUUGAUUGUUGCUUGGUUUAUUAAAAUAUUGAUCAUAUUUUAAUAAACAUGACAAGCAACGUAUAAAACAUGUUAUUAGUCUUGAUUUUGUAACUUAAAUUUGCUCAUAUUUUCACAACUUUGUACACAUUUUAUAUGAUUUCAUAACCUGCAGCAUCGCGAUUCUUACCA
Prunus dulcis (almond) is the source of this 1015-nucleotide long non-coding RNA. RefSeq lists it as uncharacterized. Lineage: Eukaryota; Viridiplantae; Streptophyta; Magnoliopsida; Rosales; Rosaceae. The record is from RefSeq and is a predicted model, not a curated record. The transcript is spliced from 7 exons.